AUAAUGGUGGUAGGGAUCCGGAAGGUGACCGACCCUUCGGGGAGCCAUUACAGGUGUUGCAUGGCUGUCGUCAGCUCGUGUCGUGAGAUGUCGGUUAAGUCCGCUAACGAGCGCAACCCUCGCUGUGUGUUAUAUGUGUCACACAGGACUGCUGGGUAUUAAGCCGGAGGAAGGUGGGGACGACGUCAAGUCAGCAUGACCUUUAUAUCCAGGGCUACACACACGCUACAAUGGUCAGUACAAUGGGUUGCCAAGCCGCGAGGCGGAGCCAAUCCUAAAAAGCUGGCCUCAGUUCAGAUUGCAGUCUGAAACUCGACUGCAUGAAGUCGGAGUUGCUAGUAACCGCAGGUCAGCUAUACUGCGGUGAAUACGUUCCCGGGUCUU
Molecule: ribosomal RNA, 384 nt
Filed under: uncultured Anaerolineaceae bacterium
Lineage: Bacteria; Bacillati; Chloroflexota; Anaerolineae; Anaerolineales; Anaerolineaceae
Description: bacterial SSU rRNA
Rfam family: Bacterial small subunit ribosomal RNA
Source: RNAcentral